AUGCGAUGACUUUGGAACCAACUACUGAAGGAAGAUUUCCAGGCAAUCAGGAGUGGGAUUGAUUCCUUUCUUUGCAGAGGAAAUGGGACGUGCACAGGCCAGGAAGCAGGACAUAGCACCCGCUAAGGAUUUCCCAAUAGUCUGAAGUGUUGCUGGCUUGGAAGGGAAGAGAUGAGCCUGGGAUAAGCAGAAACUGAAGCUGAAAAGAUAAGGAUACCAUGAGGAAGGAGGGGCCUGGAGGGAGACAGUAUUAUCCACUGGUGCCAGUAGAGUCAGACAUUUUCAGAGCGUGCUCAUAGAACUGGGGAGGCUCUUCAUGAUGAGGAGAACAAAGGCAAAAAAGAUGUCUUUCCACAGUUUCUUCCUGAGACAUGAACAAGAAAUGGGCACCAGCUGUUCUUGUGAGGAUCCAAACCUCCAAAAUCUGCUUGACCUCUUGGGAUUCAAUUCUUUGAAAU
Leopardus geoffroyi (Geoffroy's cat) is the source of this 458-nucleotide long non-coding RNA. RefSeq lists it as uncharacterized. The record is from RefSeq and is a predicted model, not a curated record. The transcript is spliced from 3 exons. NCBI's taxonomy places the organism in Eukaryota, Metazoa, Chordata, Mammalia, Carnivora, Felidae.